Molecule: unclassified non-coding RNA, 353 nt
Filed under: soil metagenome
Description: partial contains 5.8S ribosomal RNA, internal transcribed spacer 2, and large subunit ribosomal RNA
Rfam family: 5.8S ribosomal RNA (bases 1-120)
Source: RNAcentral
GAUGAAGAACGCAGCGAAAUGCGAUAAGUAAUGUGAAUUGCAGAAUUCAGUGAAUCAUCGAAUCUUUGAACGCACAUUGCGCCCGCCAGUAUUCUGGCGGGCAUGCCUGUUCGAGCGUCAUUACAACCCUCAGGCCCCCGGGCCUGGCGUUGGGGAUCGGCGGAAGCCCCCUGCGGGCACAACGCCGUCCCCCAAAUACAGUGGCGGUCCCGCCGCAGCUUCCAUUGCGUAGUAGCUAACACCUCGCAACUGGAGAGCGGCGCGGCCACGCAGUAAAACACCCAACUUCUGAAUGUUGACCUCGAAUCAGGUAGGAAUACCCGCUGAACUUAAGCAUAUCAAUAAGCGGAGGA